GGCUUCCUGGUGCUCAUCACAGGCUGCAUUCUGACACUUACUGUAUAGAAAGAGAAGGAAAAGUAAACCUACCCCAUAUACACCUCAGCCCAGGCCCUGUGCCUGGUCUGUAUUAUGAAUGGGAAGACAUGG
This 132-nucleotide small nucleolar RNA is filed under the name Castor canadensis (American beaver). RNAcentral describes it as "Small nucleolar RNA SNORA51 (ENSCCNG00000004980.1)". It matches the Rfam family "Small nucleolar RNA SNORA51". Rfam says of the family: ACA51 is a member of the H/ACA class of snoRNA that guide the sites of modification of uridines to pseudouridines. Lineage: Eukaryota; Metazoa; Chordata; Mammalia; Rodentia; Castoridae. The record is from Rfam by way of RNAcentral.